Non-coding RNA from Callithrix jacchus (white-tufted-ear marmoset), 1707 nucleotides. The record is from RefSeq and is a predicted model, not a curated record. Lineage: Eukaryota; Metazoa; Chordata; Mammalia; Primates; Cebidae.
UCCCUCUUCCCCACUUCCCAGUAGCGCGGGUUCCGCUCCGCCCGCGGGGCCCCGCCCCCGCCACCCCCACCGCCUCGCCCCCGCCCGGCUCCCUGCCCCGCCCCGCCCGCCCGCCGUCCCCCGCUUGCCUUCCAGCGCCGCUUGCGCUCGGUAGCGCUGGCUCUGCCGGCGCUGAGAAAUGGACCAAUUUUGACAAGAUGUAAUGCUACAAGUGUGCCUGAUGGGAUAUAUUCAGUCAUGGCAUCUGAACUUUGUAAGACGAUCUCUGUGGCAAGGCUGGAAAAGCACAAGAAUUUGUUCUUAAAUUACAGGAAUCUGCACCAUUUUCCUUUGGAGUUACUAAAAGAUGAGGGACUGCAGUACUUGGAGAGACUCUAUAUGAAAAGGAACUCCCUGACAACCUUGCCAGAAAACCUUGCUCAGAAGCUUCCAAACCUUGUGGAACUAUACCUGCACUCAAAUAACAUAGUUGUGGUACCAGAAGCCAUUGGGUCCCUUGUAAAACUCCAAUGUCUGGAUCUUAGUGACAAUGCCUUAGAAAUAGUUUGCCCAGAAAUUGGUCGUCUGAGAGCUUUACGUCAUCUUCGAUUAGCUAAUAACCAGCUGCAAUUCCUACCUCCAGAGGUUGGCGAUUUGAAGGAGCUGCAGACACUAGACAUUUCUACCAAUCGUUUGCUAACUUUACCCGAGAGGCUUCACAUGUGCCUUUCUCUGCAGUACCUCACCGUGGACCGAAAUCGUCUAUGGUAUGUGCCGCGCCAUCUCUGCCAGCUGCCCAGCCUCAAUGAGCUCUCCAUGGCUGGAAACCGUCUUGCAUUUUUGCCACUUGAUUUAGGUCGAUCUCGAGAACUACAAUAUGUGUACGUGGAUAACAACAUAAACCUGAAAGGCUUGCCAUCUUAUCUGUACAAUAAAGUCAUCGGGUGCAGUGGCUGUGGUGCUCCCAUUCAAGUUUCUGAGGUGAAGCUGCUUUCCUUUUCAUCAGGGCCUCGAACCGUUUUCCUCCCAGCCGAGGUGAAGGCCAUAGGGACAGAGCAUGAUCACAUCCUCCCUCUGCAGGAAUUGGCCAUGAGAAGUCUGUAUCAUACCUACCACAGGUUUCUGAAAGAUUUGAACUUUCUGUCUCCAAUCUCAUUACCCAGAAGUCUCCUGGAGCUGCUGCACUGCCCUCUGGGGCACUGUCAUCGGUGUAGUGAGCCUAUGUUUACCAUCGUCUACCCCAAGCUCUUUCCCUUGAGAGAGACGCCAAUGGCAGGGCUGCACCAGGGGCAGUAUGGGGCAGUGUUCAGAGCAUGGACUUUGCACCUGACAAGCCUGGCUCUUCUGCUGUGAGAACGUGGAUGGGCUAUGGUACUUCUCAAAAUGGGGAUACAACAGCCUGCGUGACAGGGCCAUGUGAGGCUUGGCAGAUGAGAAAGGCACACACCUGGCACUUAAGAGGAGGACAACUGUUAGUUUUGUGGCUUACUGCUGCUCCACCCAGUGUCUGCAGACUUUUGACCUGCUGAGUUGAUAAACACCCAGGAGCCUCAGGAGCACUGCCAGCUUGACGCUAGGGAAUCCGGCCAGUCCAGAACAGACUCUUCCAUCCUGUCCUGUCCAAGGCGGGGCACUGUGGAACUCUCUGGAAAUGUCAAGAUUGGGCUUCAGAGCUAAAAUGCCUCACCCUUCCCCCAAGUUGGAAUAUAUCCUCCCCCAAAUUAAGGA